Molecule: long non-coding RNA, 452 nt
Organism: Ornithorhynchus anatinus (platypus)
Lineage: Eukaryota; Metazoa; Chordata; Mammalia; Monotremata; Ornithorhynchidae
Exons: 2
Source: RefSeq, a predicted model, not a curated record
ACCAUCAGCAUCGGAUUGUUGAGGCAAGGCAGAGAGGCAUAAAUAUUCUCAGCUAAUGAGAUUCUGCUUUUCUGCAAAUCCCUAGGGAGUGAACAAGAGGGACAGAGAUUAUGACAUCAAGGGAGAAGCUUUGGUAAAUGGUUUCCCCAGAGCCUAUGCAAGCCAACAUUACAUUACCUCUGCAGGUUGAUUUACUGCUCCUCAGCAUAGACGCCAUGGGAGACGUCUCUCUUCAGACCACUGGGAUCAUGGAGAACAUUCGGCUGACGGGAAGACCACUGGAAAUAAAGCGAGAGCCGGUCCACGUUCUUUCAAAGCCGUGUGGGUACGGAGGAAUGGAGUGUCAAGAAAACAUUAACCCACCCGCGAUGCCCUCCAGUCAUUGCCAAACGCAAUCCUGAGUGCUGAGAACAAGUGAACGCUGACAGGAAUAAUGAUACUCUGUAUUUAUA